UCCACAGCCUAACAUUCUCCAAACACUGCCGCCAUUUCAAGAGCAUGCAUCCUCUGCCGCCACAGGAGCUACCAUGAAUAGAGACGUGGCAACCAGAGGGACCAGGGCAGGGCAUCCAUAGAUGUGGCAACCAGAGUGACCAGGGUAGGGCAAUCAAAGACAUGGCUUGGGAAAAAUGAGCUAUCUCCUCGGCGUUCCAGAUACAAUGUCGAUGGUGUCUGCAACUAUGUCUGUUGACACAAGAAAUAAAAUUGUUUGCAACCCUUUCGAGCAGGAUGUCAGACAAGCUUUAUAUGCUCUCAAUGCAAGAGAGCGGACCUCUCUCAAGAGGCUUCCAUGGGCUUUGCAGGAUUAGCAUGUAUAAGGGAAUGUGAUAGGGUUAAGUGGUAGUGAAGCUACAAACCACCACCCAAGGCAAUGAUGUACAAGCUCAUGGACCUCUCCCUUACCAUGGCUCAUUCUAAAUGGCAAUAAUUUAAAUGAUGCCAUGAAUUAAUACUUGUAAGUAAUUUCUCUGUGUUUAAAUAAGGCAAUGUUUUUGCAUUGGUUUUGUAUAUCCUCAAAAUAAGAAAGGCAGUUGCAGGGCCAUGAAAAUAGAGUUUUUGAUUGUAACUUGGAACACAUGGCCAUGAAAUUGAUGACCAGCUAACCUAGAUGCAAGAAAUCUUCCCAUAGUUACACAGGAAAUUCAAUCUGAUUAUGUAAUCUUGAUAAUAUCACAUUCUCAGUUUUUGACAAUAUUGGCUAAAGA
Long non-coding RNA from Cryptomeria japonica (Japanese cedar), 751 nucleotides. RefSeq lists it as uncharacterized. The transcript is spliced from 3 exons. Lineage: Eukaryota; Viridiplantae; Streptophyta; Pinopsida; Cupressales; Cupressaceae. The record is from RefSeq and is a predicted model, not a curated record.